CUCCAAUAUUCUAUAUUUUCCAUAACUUGACCGUAAAUUUGCAAAAUACAAUCAAACUUGAAGAAUGGACACAUACGGGCAGUAUUAACUUGGUGGUGGUGCACCAAAGCCACCAGCUCCACGUCCAAAGCCAGGUCUUCUACCCUGUGAAAUUAGAACAGCAAGACAGGUUAAGCACAACAAACUUGUCUUAUUUAGUUCUGUAGUGUACAAAUCUGGAUUGACAUAUAAAUGGACAAGAUUAUGCACAUCCUGAGCUUUACAAAAAACAUAAACAUAAAAGGUGCCAAUCAACAAAAUAACAGAACUAAGAACAAAAAGUCUGCACCUGUCCUAAUUUCUUCUCUUUUCUCUUCUCACAUUACCCAUUUCACUCAUUCCCCAACAAAAAUAAAAUUCAGCAAUUUAUAAGAACACGAGGUGAAUUCGAAAAAACCAUAAGAGUAACUUACGGAAGUAUAAAGAAAUUUGCAAUCAAUAGGAUUUACCUAAUCCUCCCUCUUCUUGAGAGGAAGAUUGAAAUACCUUUUUCUUUCCACCAGGACCUGGAGAUUAGAUCUAAUCGUAAGAAGAAUGCUCAGUAUAAAUAACUCACUUCUUGGUCUUCAAUACCCCUCAAUCACUAUUAACGCACCCGAUCACUGCAAUUUCAUGUGUCUGCUUGUAUCUCUUGACUAGAAUGGGAGUAGGUUUGAAAAAGAGUAAAUUUAAAGGUUGCUCACCCAACUUUAGUAUAUAUUACUACUUGCUCACUCAUCAACAAAACAUAACUCAUUGCUCAUCCAUCUAUUCACUUGCUUACCCAUUGAUCACCCAUCUCAUCUCCGUCAACCUAAACUAAUGGAAUGUGCCACGUGGCGAACGAAAAUCCCACGUGGCACAUGUGUUAAACGAAAUCAAAUACACAAUCCCAUGUGGCACAUGAAAUGGCAACAAUAGUCAUCUUCUCCUUUCCGUCUCUCUGCGAGUCUUCGACCAUGGAGUUCCUCCAUGAAUAUGACAGUAGACCCAGAUUCCAAUUCCAAUCAAAGACAUUACCCAAAUCCUCUAACGCCAUCGAAUCCGACACAAACCAUCCUUCUAUUCAUGGGACUGCCAUUUUCUUUUCCCUCUUUCUUUUCAUAUCCAUUUUCAGUCUUGCAUUCAUUUAACAAUGUAACUCCAGAAAAAGCAAACUUCAUGAUUUCUUUUUCCACAAUUACACUCGCUAGAACAUUCUCUAUUGUCUCACUAAAAUUAGUACAAAUAAUCCGUGUGCCAGAUAUCCAUGUCUGCCUUGGUCCAG
Molecule: long non-coding RNA, 1285 nt
Filed under: Olea europaea subsp. europaea
Lineage: Eukaryota; Viridiplantae; Streptophyta; Magnoliopsida; Lamiales; Oleaceae
Source: RNAcentral